Paramuricea clavata is the source of this 409-nucleotide non-coding RNA. NCBI's taxonomy places the organism in Eukaryota, Metazoa, Cnidaria, Anthozoa, Malacalcyonacea, Plexauridae. The record is from the annotation of a GenBank genome assembly.
GCCGUCACCGAUUUGAUUUGAAUGCAUAGCUGACUAUGCCGAACCCACGCCGGGUGCAUAAAACUCAUUGUCUGUCAAGAUUAAUGAUCUGGAAGCCCGGCAAAUUUCAAAGCAACAAUACAGGGUGUCCCACCUUUUCAAAUUUUCCUAUUGUCACAUUUGAAUGCCUGAGCAUUAUGCCGAACCCCACAGAAGUCUGAAAACGAGACCUGAACAAAUAACUGUAUUCUUAAUGGGUAAGUGCAAGAUACUCCAGGGAAUUUAAAAUAGCUUCUGAUAAAAGGAGAGUGCAUUGCUACACAAAAAUUGUCGAAUUACUAAUCAGUCAUACAAGCAGCCGGAGCAAAAAAUUGUUCAACUGAGCAAAGAGUUUUUAUUGAUUGUGUUAUAUUAUACGCUCAAAGUACAU